GCUCACUUUGGAAGCAAAUACUAAAAUUGGAAUAAUACAGAGAAUAUUAUCAUGGCCCCUUGCACAAGGAUGACACACAAAUUUGUGAAGUACUCUAUAUUUUU
Gorilla gorilla gorilla (western lowland gorilla) is the source of this 104-nucleotide small nuclear RNA. Lineage: Eukaryota; Metazoa; Chordata; Mammalia; Primates; Hominidae. The record is from Ensembl.